This 434-nucleotide ribosomal RNA is filed under the name uncultured Treponema sp. RNAcentral describes it as "bacterial SSU rRNA". It matches the Rfam family "Bacterial small subunit ribosomal RNA", at positions 355 to 782 of the family's 1533-position model. Lineage: Bacteria; Pseudomonadati; Spirochaetota; Spirochaetia; Treponematales; Treponemataceae. The record is from RNAcentral.
CUAAGAAUAUUCCGCAAUGGACGAAAGUCUGACGGAGCGACGCCGCGUGGAUGAAGAAGGCCGGAAGGUUGUAAAGUUCUUUUAAGCAUGAAGAAGGAUUAUUGCAGGAAAUGGCAGUAAAGUGACGGUAGUGCUUGAAUAAGAGGCGGCUAAUUACGUGCCAGCAGCCGCGGUAACACGUAAGCCUCGAGCGUUGUUCGGAAUUAUUGGGCGUAAAGGGCAUGUAGGCGGACCUGCAAGCUUGGAGUGAAAUCCACGGGCUCAACCCGUGAACUGCUCCGAGAACUGCAGGACUCGAAUCGCUGAGGGGAGCCGGAAUUCCAGGUGUAGGGGUGAAAUCUGUAGAUAUCUGGAAGAACACCAAUGGCGAAGGCAGGUUUCUAGCAGACGAUUGACGCUGAGGUGCGAAGGUGCGGGGAGCAAACAGGAUUAGA